CGCUGGCGGCGUGGCCUAAUACACUGCAAGUCGAACGGUCUUUCUAUGGAAGCUUGCUUCCACUGAGAAGAGUAGUGGCGAACGGGUGAGUAACACGUGGGUAACCUGCCCGAUAAGAGGGGGGAUAACAUCCGGAAACGGGUGCUAAUACCGCAUAGUUUUCUUGAUCGCAUGAUCGGGAAAGGAAAGACGGCCUUUGUGCUGUCGCUUAUGGGAUGGACCCGCGGCGUAUUAGUUAGUUGGUGAGGUAACGGCUCACCAAGACGAUGAUACGUAGCCGACCUGAGAGGGUGAUCGGCCACAUUGGGACUGAGACACGGCCCAAACUCCUACGGGAGGCAGCAGUAGGGAAUCUUCCGCAAUGGACGAAAGUCUGACGGAGCAACGGCCGCGUGAGUGAAGAAAAGGUUUUCGGAUCGUAAAACUCUGUUGUCAGAGAAGAACAAGGUUGGAGAGUAACUGCUCCAGCCUUGACGGUAUCUGACCAGAAAGCCACGGCUAACUACGUGCCAGCAGCCGC
RNAcentral lists this ribosomal RNA (520 nucleotides) under uncultured bacterium. RNAcentral describes it as "bacterial SSU rRNA". It matches the Rfam family "Bacterial small subunit ribosomal RNA", at positions 34 to 518 of the family's 1533-position model. The record is from RNAcentral.